AACGCACAUUGCGCCCCCUGGUAUUCCGGAGGGCAUGCCUGUUCGAGCGUCAUUUCCACCUUCAAGCCCCGCUUGGUGUUGGGCGCAUGUCCCGCUCCCGCGCGUGGACUCGCCUCAAAGAUAUCGGCGUCGAGUGGCCGGUUCGGAGCGUAGCAGAUCGUCGCUCCCGCCUGGCUGUCACGACUACCGUGAGCUCGCGAAUCUACGAUUUUGGACCUCGGAUCAGGCAGGGAUACCCGCUGAACUUAA
RNAcentral lists this unclassified non-coding RNA (249 nucleotides) under uncultured fungus. RNAcentral's name for it is "partial contains 5.8S ribosomal RNA, internal transcribed spacer 2, and large subunit ribosomal RNA". Lineage: Eukaryota; Fungi. The record is from RNAcentral.